CAGCACAGUCUUCAUUACUGGCCAUGGCAGGGAGGAGUACAGUUUAGAAAGGCCAUGGUCCCAACACCCACUGAUCAAAACUUCUGAGUCCGUAAGUCUCUGAUUACAAUUCCUUUUAAGGAACAGCCUAUAACCCUAACCCAACCUUUGGGGAGUCCAUCCUUCUACGAUUCAACAUCCAGGUGUGACAAGGGAGGGCCUAAAAUCUACCCAUCACCCAGCUAGGAGGCACAGCAGCCCCACCCGAAUCCGACUCAAAGGCCCAGGGUGUCUCUCCUGCCCAGGACCCUUAGGUCUCGCUGGAGGGGAGUCUGGAGACCAGGGCAGGAGUGCGGGGCAAGAGCUCAGUUAGACUGAUAAUAGGGCUCGGGCAGUUUCCACCACAGCUGCGGCUACAACCCACGUGUACUGACCCCUCACCAGGCCGGAGCUGGGGCUCAGGACUGGGCAAAUCUAGGAGGGACAGAGGUAUAAGCCAAACCUUGCCUUCAAGGACUUUCAGACCAGCUACAGAACCAGACAAGCCCAGGCCCAGUGUGGUCUGGGCUGGAGGCUUGGCUGGAACAGCGGGGGCACCACAUAGUCCAGAGACUUCCCGAGGGACAGGAAGGAUGGCACCUGAGGUUCCCUUGCCAUGCCACCCAUAGUCACUGGCCAGCAGCCUUCCUGUUGGGAAAAGGGAGAUGGGGGAGGGAACCUUGCCUGACAUCUCAUCCUGGCCUGAGCUUUGAUCUUGGAGCCUCCCAAC
Molecule: long non-coding RNA, 748 nt
Filed under: Pan troglodytes (chimpanzee)
Lineage: Eukaryota; Metazoa; Chordata; Mammalia; Primates; Hominidae
Description: long non-coding RNA NONPTRT009613
Source: RNAcentral